UGGGGAAUAUUGCGCAAUGGGGGGAACCCUGACGCAGCCAUGCCGCGUGAAUGAAGAAGGCCUUAGGGUUGUAAAGUUCUUUCGGUAUUGAGGAAGGUUGAUGUGUUAAUAGCACAUCAAAUUGACGUUAAAUACAGAAGAAGCACCGGCUAACUCCGUGCCAGCAGCCGCGGUAAUACGGAGGGUGCGAGCGUUAAUCGGAAUAACUGGGCGUAAAGGGCACGCAGGCGGUUAUUUAAGUGAGGUGUGAAAGCCCCGGGCUUAACCUGGGAAUUGCAUUUCAGACUGGGUAACUAGAGUACUUUAGGGAGGGGUAGAAUUCCACGUGUAGCGGUGAAAUGCGUAGAGAUGUGGAGGAAUACCGAAGGCGAAGGCAGCCCCUUGGGAAUGUACUGACGCUCAUGUGCGAAAGCGUGGGGAGCAAACAGGAUUAGAUACCCUGGUAGUCCACGCUGUAAACGCUGUCGAUUUGGGGGUUGGGGUUUAACUCUGGCGCCCGUAGCUAACGUGAUAAAUCGACCGCCUGGGGAGUACGGUCGCAAGAUUA
Molecule: ribosomal RNA, 547 nt
Filed under: uncultured bacterium
Lineage: Bacteria
Description: bacterial SSU rRNA
Rfam family: Bacterial small subunit ribosomal RNA
Source: RNAcentral